RNAcentral lists this long non-coding RNA (1950 nucleotides) under Homo sapiens (human). Its description in RNAcentral is "HSALNT0235222". Lineage: Eukaryota; Metazoa; Chordata; Mammalia; Primates; Hominidae. The record is from RNAcentral.
GUCAUCAUUUAACAGCAAGAGACAGACGUCAGACACAAAGGCAGCAUUUUCACCCGUGUCUGACACAUGUCAGCCCUGGGCCUGGGCCACCUCCUGGCUUUCUUCUCCUGCUGCAGGGAGACGCAUGGCCAUGGGCCACGCAUGGGGGGAGCAGAGGCCCGAAGGUGGGGGUGAUCCCCACUUCCAGUUCCAGGCUGGUGGUUGCGUCUUAGGGGGAAGGAGUGGGGGGGCAUCUGUAUCCCCCCAGCAACAAGGAACACAGCCUCGGUGCCCCACCCUGCUCGGCGCCCCAGCCCGCUCUGCACCCCACCCCGCUAGGCGCUCCACCCCGCUCUGAGUGGUGCCUCCUUAAGGCUGGAGACGGCCCUGAGUGCGUUAAGCACGCUAACCUAUUCCAUCUUCAUGGUGUUGAACAGGUUGGAACUGCUGAAAUCUCCAUUGACACAGGGGGAAACUGAGGCACAAAACGAUCAAGCACUUGCCCCUGAUGCCAUGACUGAAGAAGCUCCAGGUGGGCAUUCCGUGGGCAGGGCCGCUGAGCCCCCCACCCCCCCAGGGCUUCUCCAGUUUCACCCUGGACGCACCCUUGGACAUCGCUGUGUUGUUCCCCUGGAAGCCUGUUGAGAUCCUGGCCGCUGUGGACUAUUUCCUAUCAUCUGCAUCAGGCAUCUCGAGCUCAGCUCAGAUCUGCACACAUGAGCCUGUCUGCGUAGCCUCCUGCGGCUGCAGUCACAAAUGGCCCACAGACUUAUGGCUGAAACAACACGAAUGCAUUCUCCCACAGCUCUGGCGGUCAGAAGCCCAACCGGCUCUCACGGAGCUGAAAUCAAGGUGUCGGCAGGGCUGGUCCCUUCUGGAGGCGCAGGGAAGAAUCCCUUUCCUGCCUUUUCUGGCUUCCAGAGGCUUCUGUGUUCCUGGGCUCAUGGUGCCUCUGACGUCACCACGACCUCUGCUGCCAUUGCCACUGCCUGCUGCUGACCCUCCUGCCCCUGGCCUCCCGCCUCCCUCCUACAAGGAUGCCCGUGAUGACCUUGGGCCACCCAGAUGACCAGGAUGGUCCCCACCUGGAGGCCUCUCGCUCAGUCCCAUCUGCACAGGCCCUACUGCCGUGGGAGAGGCACACAGCAGGCUCCGGGGACCAGGACGGGGGUGCCUCCCAGGACCUCUUUCCCAGGCUGAGCGUUUCAUAGCAGGCUCCGGGGACCAGGACGGGGGUGCCUCCCAGGACCUCUUUCCCAGGCUGAGCGUUUCAUAGCAGGCUCCGGGGACCAGGACGGGGGUACCUCCCAGGGCCUCUUUCCCAGGCUGAGCAUUUCAUAGCAGGCUCCGGGGACCAGGACGGGGGUACCUCCCAGGGCGUCUUUCCCGGGCUGCAUGUUUCUUUCCUAGUCCGACUCUUGUCUUCUAACACUGGUUUUGGUGUCUUUUGUUACACAACUGCUUUAACUUCUUAUGUAACUGAAGACGUCCAUCUUGUCCUUUUUGGGAUUAGAAUUUGGGGUAGAAAGUCUUUUCCUCCACCAGAAUUAUACAACUAUUCUAUUUUUCUACUAAUACUUUUAUACUUUUUUUGCAAUUUAGCGGAUUUAUCUGCACAGAAUUUAUUGUGUCCGUAAGGUGGGGUUCUAACUUUGUUUUUCCAGAUGGUGGAUUCAUUGGCCCAACGAUGCCUCUGAAUGAUUCUUUCCUCUCUUUCAAACGUGACCAAUUUCCUACAUUAAAUUCUCUUGUAAAGGGCCAUACGCUAGACUUGAUUUUUUUGUUUUUUUGUUUGUUUGUUUUUUUGAGACAGAGUCUCCUUCUGUCACCCAGGCUGCAGUGCAAUGGCAUGAUCUCAGCUCACUGCAACCUCCGCCUCCUGGGUUCAAGCGACUCUCCUGCCUCAGCCUCCCAGGUAGCAGGGAUUAUAGGCGCCCGCCACCACGCCCGGCUAACUUUUGUAUUUUUUAG